RNAcentral lists this long non-coding RNA (7987 nucleotides) under Malus domestica (apple). Its description in RNAcentral is "long non-coding RNA (MDOM_LNC000971)". Lineage: Eukaryota; Viridiplantae; Streptophyta; Magnoliopsida; Rosales; Rosaceae. The record is from RNAcentral.
GAGGACGAGCACAUCCAGGGGCGUCAAGGGGGUUACGACCCGGCGACAUACCAGUGAGUGGGCAUUGCUUUCUAUAUAUAUACCUAUAUACUCGAUUUCCCCAGAAAUCAAAUUUAAAUGAAAAGUAUAUUGAAAUGAAAUGAAAUAUGAUGUGAUUGCCAUGCAUAGAAUAUUAUGGAUAUUAUGAACUGUCGUAUGAUGCAUAUAUGUAUGAUGGUGCUGUGGAAGCACAGGUAAGUAUUUAAUUAAUAUUAUGAUGAUGAUGAUGAUAUAUUGAGCUCAUAUCCUGCACCAUGGUUUAGUGCUUAUAGUAUUCACCGCAUCGCACGCUCGCCUUGGAUCCAAGUAGAUGCUGGUCGUACAGUCCACGCGGAGUGGGUACGACGGGCCAGUCGUAGAGUGUUAGUGAGAUUAUGACUGGUGGGUGACCUUAGGUUAUUGUAUACAGAUGAUUGAUGAGAGAAGCACUAGAGCGAAUAUUACCAUGAGUCGUUCAAACUACAUUAGGUGGUUCCGACUUAUGUGCAGAAGGCCGGACAGGUCACGCGGAGUGACUCCGGCAGAGAGUGAGAUUGAUAGAUGUUGAGCUCUAGGUUCAAUCGUUCAGGGCUAUUAGAGGGCCUCCGAUUGAUUUCUAUCUUUUACCUGAUUAUAUUAUGUUAAUGCAUUCAUACUAAACUGUUGAGAUUGGCAUGGUACAUUCUUUAUUGAAUCUGUUAUAAGAUUGAUGAUUGAGACAGUUGAGAUAUAUAUGCUAUAUACUAUUUUUCUGGGAAAGUAUACAGGUUUUCCAAAAAGGGGUUAUAAUUGUGGAUUUGUGAAAUGAUUUGGAAAAGCUUUAUUUUCGCCCACUCACGUUUUCUGUUUUUCGCCCCUCCAGGUUCUAGUUAAUAGUUGAGGCGUUGGUGGCCUACGAGACUGCUUCGGCGUUCUGACAGACUAAAUAAAUGUAGGAUUCACCCGAGGGUGUUGUAAAAUAGUUAUGUUCCUACUUGACUGCACCUAGAUGCUUAUGCUCUGUUUAUGUGUGUUUAGUACACUCUUAUGCACAUAGAAUGCUAGGUUGUAAAUAACUGCAAUUAGUGGUUUUCGUUAAUUCGUAUUUUAUUAUUAAAUCGUUUCCGCUUGCGUUAUGGUUACGUCACACUCACGUGACGGCCAGCACGUCCUAGUCUUCGGGUUAGGGUGUGUCAGUUUGGUAUCAGAGCAUAGGUUGCAGUCCUGUAUAACUAAUGAGUUCUUCUAUUGAUUUUUGGAUGUUUUCUGUCAGAAUUAUGCCGCCUCGUAGAGAUCCUCGCCGUGCUGCUGAGCCUAAUUUCCCCGAUAUAACUCAGUUAGGGGCAGCAAUGGCUCAAGCUUUUCAGGCUAAUAUCCGUCCUCCUCAGAGAACGCCCGUAGAGACGAUGUAUAAUCUGAAACUGGAAACCUUUGAGGGAAAUGAAGGUUAUGAAGGGGCAGAAAAGUGGUUGGAUCGAAUUGAGCAGACCUUUCAAGUGAUGCAAAGUCAGGGAAACCUGCCAGCUAAUAGAUGGGUGGAGACCACCACCUGGUUUUUGGGCCGUGAGCCAGCUGCGUGGUGGAUAAAUCAGUCGAGGCACAUGACUCCUGAAAGGGCAGCCGAAUGGGAGGUAUUUAAGGAAAAUUUUAUGAAGAGAUUUGUUCCUCCGGAAUAUAUAGAUCGCAAGAAACAGGAAUUCACCAGUCUGAAGCAGAGAAAUAUGUCUGCACAUGAGUACUACAGGAAGUUUACUGAUUUAUCCCGUUAUGAUUCUGAUUUAGCGGGUAAUCAAGCAGAAAUGCUUCGUCGUUUCAAGCUAGGAUCUAAGAAGAAGUACAGAACGUUUGCCAAUGCACUUCCCUGUGCCGAUUAUCAUGAGUAUUUUGAGAUUCUGGUCAGGAUGGAAGACUCUGAUAAUCUUCCGGACAGUGAGGAUGAAGAGGAUAAGGGUAAUGGUCAGAAGAAAAAUGAGAAAGGUAAAGGUGUUUCCAUUCCAGGACCUCGUCAGACGCAGAAUUUCAAGAAAAGUGGAAUGAGUUCGAGUUCUUCCAGUGGUGGAUUUAGUGCCACAGGUCCGAGGAGAGGAGGUGGUAGGUUUGGUAAUGGACCUAGAUUUUCUGGUCAGAGAGGCUUUGGUAAUACUGGUAGUUCGGGUCCUCCGUUAUGUCGCCGUUGUAAUUUCCGACAUCAUGGGGAAUGUAGGAGAAGCAGUGGUGCAUGCUUUACAUGUGGUCAGACAGGACAUAGAGCUAUGUAUUGUCCCCAGAAUCAGCAGAGGCCCCAGCAGCCUGUUAUGCCAACAUCAGCACCGACUCAACAGAACUUUAAUUCAGGCAGUUAUGGCCAGGGUGGUCGUGGUGGUGCUUAUCACUAUCAGGGUGAUGCUGCUCCUUAUGCUCCGGGACAGUAUCACUAUUCCCAGGAUCCUUAUUUUCAGAGUGGAUAUUCUCAGGAUCAGGGAGGUUAUACUUCAUAUCCGUCUAUGCCAGCUAGCGGAUCUCAGUGGUAUCAGGGGGGUCAGCCCCAACAGAGCGGAGUUGCUGCUAGUAGUACAGGGUCGUUUAGGCCGCCUGCCCAGGCAGGUCAAGGACGUACUCAUCAGGGACGAGGUAACCAGAGUGGCAGAGGUCGUGGAGGACGACAGCCAGCUCAGGGACGCGUUAACCACAUAUCGCUGCAAGAUGCUCAGAACCAUCCAGACUUGAUUAUGGGUACGUUGAAUGUUCUUGGUCAUUUUGCUAGAGUCUUGAUUGAUUGUGGUGCUACACACUCUGUGAUUUCUCAUACAUUUGCUCAAAUAACGCAACCUCAUCCUUCACCUCUAGGGUUUGAUUUAGAGUUUGCUAUGCCUAGAGGGGAUAAAUGUUAUGUUGAUAGUUUUUACUCUGGGUGUCCAGUGAUGGUAGAUAAUGUCAUUAUGCCUGCUAAUCUUAUCCCGUUAGACAUCGUGGAUUUUGAGGUGAUUUUAGGGGCGGAUUGGUUGCAUUAUAAUCGCGCCCAUAUAGAUUGUUACGGGAAAUCAGUUACUUUUCUUCGUCCUGGACUACCCGAGGUUACAUUUGUGGGUGAAAGAAGUGGGGUGAGGCAUGGUGUUAUUUCCGCCAUAAGGACAAAGAAAUUGUUAUCCAAGGGUUGUCAGGGAUACUUGGCACAUGUGGUUUUGAAUGAUGUUGAUUCCGGUAGUGUGGAGGAAGUCGGAGUAGUCAGACACUAUCCUGAUGUAUUUCCAGAUGAUUUACCUGGGUUGCCUCCAGAUAGAGAUGUGGAAUUUUCGAUUGAAUUGCUUCCAGGUACGAAUCCUAUCUCUUUGACUCCUUAUAGAAUGGCACCAGCGGAAUUAAGAGAGUUGAAAAUUCAAUUGCAAGAGUUAAUUGAUAAAGGUUUCAUUCAGCCUAGUUCUUCACCUUGGGGAGCUCCAGUGUUGUUUGUAAGAAAGAAAGAUGGAACUUUGAGAUUGUGCAUUGAUUACAGGCAAUUGAAUCGGGUGACGAUUAAAAACCGUUAUCCCUUGCCUCGUAUAGAUGAUUUGUUUGAUCAGCUCAAAGGUGCCUGUGUGUUUUCUAAGAUCGAUUUGAGGUCUGGGUAUUAUCAAUUAAAGAUUAAAGAUGAGGAUGUUCAUAAAACAGCUUUCAGGACUCGUUAUGGGCAUUAUGAGUUUUUUGGUGAUGCCAUUUGGAUUAACGAACGCUCCUGCAGCUUUCAUGAGAUUGAUGAAUGAAGUAUUCCAGGAAUAUCUUGACAAGUUUGUUAUUGUUUUUAUUGAUGACAUCCUGGUAUAUUCUAAGUCGAAAUCAGACCAUAUUCGACAUCUUAACUUGGUGUUAAGGAAAUUGAGGGAACACCGGUUAUAUGCCAAAUUUAGUAAAUGUCAAUUUUGGCUGGAUCAAGUGGCAUUUUUGGGACAUGUGGUAUCAGCUCAGGGAAUUCAAGUGGAUCCUCAAAAGAUAGCAGCAGUGGAAAAUUGGGAACAACCUCGAACGGUCACUGAGGUGCGGAGUUUCCUUGGUUUGGCAGGUUAUUAUAGACGGUUUGUUCAAGACUUUUCUAUGAUUGCCUUGCCAUUAACGAAGUUAACCAGGAAGGAUGUUAAGUUUGAGUGGGAUGAAAGUUGUGAGCAAAGUUUCCAGCAGUUGAAGUAUUGCCUUACUCAUGCACCUGUGUUAGUACUUCCUGAUGGUAAUGGUAACUUCGAGAUCUAUAGUGAUGCUUCUUUGAAUGGUUUGGGUUGUGUUUUGAUGCAGCAUAGUAGAGUGAUUGCCUAUGCUUCUAGGCAGUUGAAGACUCAUGAAAGAAACUAUCCGACUCACGAUCUUGAGUUGGCAGCUAUUGUGUUUGCUUUGAAGAUUUGGAGACACUAUCUCUAUGGCGAGAAAUGUAAGAUCUUUACCGAUCAUAAAAGCCUUCAGUACCUUUUCACUCAGCAUGAUCUUAAUCUUCGUCAGAGAAGAUGGUUGGAAUUGUUAAGUGAUUAUGAUUGCACGAUUGAGUACCAUCCGGGUCGUGCAAAUGUGGUAGCUGAUGCUCUGAGUAGAAAACCUCAAGGGCGACUUAAUGCUUUGUAUGCCAGUCGUGUUCCUCUUCUGGCAGAGUUGAGAUCUACUGGAGUAGAGUUAGAAUUGGAAGAGCAAAGUGAAGCUUUUCUUGCCAGUUUUCAAGUCAAGCCAGUUUUAAUUGAUCGGGUGCUUGCAGCUCAAUCGUGGGAUGAAGAAAUUCAAGAAUUGAUCAAGUUAAGAAAUGAAGGGAAGAAGAAAGAUCUCAAGAUCCGAGGAUCAGAUGGUAUGCUUAUGCAAGAGAACAGGAUGUAUGUGCCUAAUAAUGAGGAACUGAAGAAGGAAAUCUUGGAUGAAGCACAUUGUUCGGCUUAUGCUAUGCACCCAGGAGGAACUAAAAUGUAUCAUACCAUUCGACCAUUCUACUAUUGGCCGGGUAUGAAGAGGGAGAUUGCAGAGUAUGUGAGUAGGUGUAUUGUCUGCCAGCAGGUUAAGGCUGAAAGAAAGAAGCCGUUUGGGAGAUUGCAACCACUUCCCGUUCCCCAGUGGAAAUGGGAGAAUAUAACGAUGGAUUUUGUGUAUAAGCUGCCACGUACACAAAAUGGUUUUGAUGGCAUUUGGGUGGUUGUAGAUCGACUUACCAAAUCAGCACAUUUUAUUCCAGUAAGGGAGAAGUAUUCUUUAAAUAAGUUGGCUCAGUUAUUCAUAUCGAAGGUUGUAAAGUAUCAUGGUGUCCCAGUGAAUAUUAUUUCUGAUCGAGAUCCAAGAUUUACUUCUAAGUUUUGGAUAGCUUUUCAAGAAGCUUUGGGUACUAGAUUGCUUUACAGUACAGCUUAUCAUCCACAGACAGAUGGUCAGUCAGAGAGAACUAUUCAGACACUCGAGGAUAUGUUGAGAUCCUCUGUGAUGCAAUUUGGUGAUUCUUGGCAUGAUCGCUUGGAUUUGAUGGAGUUUGCCUACAAUAAUAGUUUUCAUUCGAGUAUUGGAAUGUCUCCAUUUGAAGCACUUUAUGGUAAAGCUUGCCGUACGCCAUUAUGUUGGUCAGAGGUUGGUGAAAGAAUACUUGAGGGCCCAGAGAUUGUGGAUGAGACUACUCAGAAUAUUCAGGUAAUUAAAUCUAACCUGAAAGUGGCCCAGGAUAGACAAAAGAGCCUAGCGGAUCGACAUACCACGGACAGAAUGUAUAAAGUGGGUGACUAUGUUUUCUGAAAUUAUCGCCUUGGAGAGGUGUGGUUCGCUUUGGAAAGAAAGGAAAGCUAAGUCCCAGGUACAUUGGACCUUAUGAGAUCACUGAGAGGAUUGGUGAAGUUGCUUACAGGUUGGAGCUACCUCCAGAGUUGUCUAAGGUACAUAAUGUGUUCCAUGUCUCGAUGCUUCGGCAUUAUGUGUCAGAUCCUUCACAUGUGAUUCCUCCUCAACCAUUGGAAAUUAAUCCGGAUUUGACGUACGAUGAGGAACCAGUGACUAUACUGGAUUGGAAAGAUAAGACCUUGAGGAAUAAGACCGUGAGCUUGGUGAAAGUAUUGUGGAGAAACCAUUCAGCUGAAGAAGCUACUUGGGAGACAGAAGAUCGGAUGAGAGAUAUGUAUCCGAGGUUAUUCUAUGACUUUUGAUGUUCUGGUUAGUGAUUGGAAUUUCGGGGACGAAAUUCUAUAAGGAGGGGAGAUUGUCACAGCCCGUCCCAGAAUUUCAAUUACCGAGGACGUGAAAUUACUAAAACGCCCUUAAACGGGAUUAAGGUGCGUAAAUUUGGUAUUUGUUUUACACUAAGAUCUUAAACUAGGGUUUAGAUUUACAUUUGUUUGGUCUAAUAAUUUUGUAUUGGACUUAGGUGGGAUCCCCACCUCCUGAAAUCCUUCCCCAAAACCCGUAGGUUGUCUCUCCCUCUUUCUUCCUCGUCUCUCCCUCAGUCUCUCUCACACUCCCUCAGAAACACUCUCUCUCUCUUACUCUCGAACUCUCUCAAGCUCUCGGACAAACACCAAGAACAAUCACAAUCCUACACCAACGUCCGAUCUAAGAUCACCACGACACUCCUUAGGACCUCACGAGCACGGGAAUACCAGUUUUAGGUAAGUUCUAUUUCGAGAACCCUAGUUUUAAAACACCCCGUGUAAUGGCACUGUUCACGAACUUAAUUUUGGUUGUGUUUUAGGUUAAACAAAGAUCACCACGAGUCUUAGGAAGUUCCAAGGAGGCUCGGAGUGCCUCGUUUGAUCAAAAUGGACGUCGGGAUCGUCGGGUUCGAGUUUGGCCGAAAUUGAAGAAUUUUGAAAGGUUUGAUCUUGUUGUUUUUAGGCCUUAAAACCCUUCCAACGUGAUAGUACAUGUUAAAUGCUUCAUUUUGGUAUAAAAUGCGAAGAAAUUGGUUGAAAAACGAAGGAGAAUAGUGGAUUUGAAAAUUUUCCAGAAACCGGCGAACAGUCGCCGGCGACCGGUGACUCGCCGGAGAAGACAGGGAAUCUUCCGUCAAGUUUGACGGAUAUUCCGACGCCGUUAGUUAACUUUAACGGAAACCGUUAGUUUUUAACGGAAUAUACUAGGAUUUGACGGAAUAUUCUCUAACGCCGUUCACUGUAGCCGUCAGUGUGCAUGUCACGUGGCCGCGCGUGGGCCGCGCGUAGGUCCGUGCCACGUCAGGCGCGUGGGGGCGCGUGAGGACUCCAAAAAUUAUUUUAAAAUUAUGGGGAUGAUCCUGAGGUUGUGUAGGUCACUGUGGUAUAUUCAUAUACCCAAUUUGAGCAUCGUAUGAAGAAUUAAUUACCUAGUUUGGUUUAGGUGCGUUAAUUGUGCGUUAAAUGAUUGUUUUAAGUUAUUUCACUUCUAGGUGGAACAUUUAACGAGGACGAGCACAUCCAGGGGCGUCAAGGGGGUUACGACCCGGCGACAUACCAGUGAGUGGGCAUUGCUUUCUAUAUAUAUACCUAUAUACUCGAUUUCCCCAGAAAUCAAAUUUAAAUGAAAAGUAUAUUGAAAUGAAAUGAAAUAUGAUGUGAUUGCCAUGCAUAGAAUAUUAUGGAUAUUAUGAACUGUCGUAUGAUGCAUAUAUGUAUGAUGGUGCUGUGGAAGCACAGGUAAGUAUUUAAUUAAUAUUAUGAUGAUGAUGAUGAUAUAUUGAGCUCAUAUCCUGCACCAUGGUUUAGUGCUUAUAGUAUUCACCGCAUCGCACGCUCGCCUUGGAUCCAAGUAGAUGCUGGUCGUACAGUCCACGCGGAGUGGGUACGACGGGCCAGUCGUAGAGUGUUAGUGAGAUUAUGACUGGUGGGUGACCUUAGGUUAUUGUAUACAGAUGAUUGAUGAGAGAAGCACUAGAGCGAAUAUUACCAUGAGUCGUUCAAACUACAUUAGGUGGUUCCGACUUAUGUGCAGAAGGCCGGACAGGUCACGCGGAGUGACUCCGGCAGAGAGUGAGAUUGAUAGAUGUUGAGCUCUAGGUUCAAUCGUUCAGGGCUAUUAGAGGGCCUCCGAUUGAUUUCUAUCUUUUACCUGAUUAUAUUAU